AAGGAAUAUUGUGCAAUGGGCGAAAGCCUGACACAGCGACGCCGCGUGAGGGAAGACGGCCUUCGGGUUGUAAACCUCUUUUCUCAGGGAAGAAUAAUGACGGUACCUGAGGAAUAAGUCUCGGCUAACUACGUGCCAGCAGCCGCGGUAAUACGUAGGAGGCGAGCGUUAUCCGGAUUUACUGGGCGUAAAGCGGGCGUAGGUGGCUUUUCAAGUCGGAUGUGAAAUCUCCCUGCUUAACGGGGAGGGGUCAUUCGAAACUGUUGAGCUAGAGGGCAGCAGGGGGAGGUGGAAUUCCCGGUGUAGUGGUGAAAUGCGUAGAUAUCGGGAGGAACACCAGUGGCGAAGGCGGCCUCCUGGGCUGUUACUGACGCUGAGGCCCGAAAGCGUGGGGAGCGAACAG
RNAcentral lists this ribosomal RNA (403 nucleotides) under uncultured bacterium. RNAcentral describes it as "bacterial SSU rRNA". It matches the Rfam family "Bacterial small subunit ribosomal RNA", at positions 356 to 775 of the family's 1533-position model. The record is from RNAcentral.